This 1001-nucleotide ribosomal RNA is filed under the name uncultured bacterium. Its description in RNAcentral is "bacterial SSU rRNA". It matches the Rfam family "Bacterial small subunit ribosomal RNA", at positions 356 to 1376 of the family's 1533-position model. The record is from RNAcentral.
GGGGAAUAUUGCACAAUGGGGGAAACCCUGAUGCAGCAACGCCGCGUGAAGGAAGACGGUUUUCGGAUUGUAAACUUCUGUUCUUAGUGAAGAAUAAUGACGGUAGCUAAGGAGCAAGCCACGGCUAACUACGUGCCAGCAGCCGCGGUAAUACGUAGGUGGCAAGCGUUGUCCGGAAUUACUGGGUGUAAAGGGAGCGUAGGCGGGAUGCCAAGUCAGCUGUGAAAACUAUGGGCUUAACUUGUAGACUGCAGUUGAAACUGGUAUUCUUGAGUGAAGUAGAGGUUGGCGGAAUUCCGAGUGUAGCGGUGGAAUGCGCAGAUAUCGGGUGGAACACCGGUGGCGAAGGCGGCCCUCUGGGCCGAGACCGACGCUGAGGCGCGAAAGCUGGGGGAGCGAACAGGAUUAGAUACCCUGGUAGUCCCAGCCGUAAACGAUGGACGCUAGGUGUGGGGGGACGAUCCCCCCGUGCCGCAGCCAACGCAUUAAGCGUCCCGCCUGGGGAGUACGGCCGCAAGGCUAAAACUCAAAGGAAUUGACGGGGGCCCGCACAAGCAGCGGAGCAUGUGGCUUAAUUCGAUGCAACGCGAAGAACCUUACCAAGUCUUGACAUCCUUCUGACCGGACAGUAAUGUGUCCUUUCCUUCGGGACAGAAGUGACAGGUGGUGCAUGGUUGUCGUCAGCUCGUGUCGUGAGAUGUUGGGUUAAGUCCCGCAACGAGCGCAACCCUUAUCCCCAGUAGCCAGCAUUUUGGAUGGGCACUCUGAGGAGACUGCCAGGGAUAACCUGGAGGAAGGUGGGGAUGACGUCAAAUCAUCAUGCCCCUUAUGACUUGGGCUACACACGUGCUACAAUGGCGUAAACAAAGGGAAGCGAGACCGUGAGGUGGAGCAAAUCCCAAAAAUAACGUCUCAGUUCGGACUGUAGUCUGCAACCCGACUACACGAAGCUGGAAUCGCUAGUAAUCGCAGAUCAGAAUGCUGCGGUGAAUACGUUCCCG